This 116-nucleotide ribosomal RNA is filed under the name uncultured bacterium. RNAcentral describes it as "partial 16S ribosomal RNA". It matches the Rfam family "Bacterial small subunit ribosomal RNA", at positions 1358 to 1482 of the family's 1533-position model. The record is from RNAcentral.
CGCGGUGAAUACGUUCCCGGGUCUUGUACACACCGCCCGUCACACCAUGGAAGCUGGGUGUACCUAAAGUCGGUAACCGUAAGGAGCCGCCUAGGGUAAAACUAGUGACUGGGGCU